GUAGGGAAUAUUGGGCAAUGGUCGGAAGACUGACCCAGCCAUGCCGCGUACAGGAAGACGGCCCUCUGGGUUGUAAACUGCUUUUAUCUGGGAAGAAAAAGGCCAUGCGUGGCAAAUUGCCGGUGCCAGAUGAAUAAGCACCGGCUAACUCCGUGCCAGCAGCCGCGGUAAUACGGAGGGUGCGAGCGUUGUCCGGAUUUAUUGGGUUUAAAGGGUGCGUAGGCGGCUGAUUAAGUCAGCGGUGAAAGACUUCGGCUUAACCGGAGCAGUGCCGUUGAUACUGGGUGGCUUGAGUGUCGGAGGGGUACAUGGAAUUGAUGGUGUAGCGGUGAAAUGCAUAGAUACCAUCAGGAACACCGAUAGCGAAGGCAUUGUACUGGCCGACAACUGACGCUGAUGCACGAAAGUGUGGGGAUCGAACAGGAUUAGAUACCCUUGUAGUCC
RNAcentral lists this ribosomal RNA (444 nucleotides) under uncultured bacterium. RNAcentral describes it as "partial 16S ribosomal RNA". It matches the Rfam family "Bacterial small subunit ribosomal RNA", at positions 354 to 796 of the family's 1533-position model. The record is from RNAcentral.